CCUAUUAGCUCAGUUUGGUUAGAGCGUCGUGCUAAUAACAUGAAAGUCACAUGUUCAAAUUAGAGGUGGGAAUAGGCCA
RNAcentral lists this transfer RNA (79 nucleotides) under Glycine max (soybean). Its description in RNAcentral is "tRNA-Ile". Lineage: Eukaryota; Viridiplantae; Streptophyta; Magnoliopsida; Fabales; Fabaceae. The record is from RNAcentral.